UUAAAACACGAUCAGGAUAUUUAGACAUUAUGUGCUAAAGGUGUCCCAUCUCCCCCCACCCUACUAUGUACAAUAAAUCAGAUUGUUAUCAUUCGUGACAUGCCAUAGUUUUACAUUCGUACCUAUAUACGAGGACCAAUCCACAGUUAUCGGCAUCCAAUCCCACCCUGUAGCUUGAUCAACUCGUUUUAGUUCAACUAUAAAGCUUCCUCUCUUAAUUUCCUUGCCUUUGAUUUAGCAUUCUUGGAAAACGAAGAUACUUCAUAACUGCCCCCGUUGUAGAAGGAUUAUUUUGCUGAUGUCACGAUCAUUCGGUCGGAUGUUUUCCACUAUGCACGUCAUGCUUCCAUUUAAUUAAAUGGAAGGUACUCAUAUAAACCAGAGGUAACGCGCUGCUGACGUUCGAUGUAAUGCCUAUAUGCGGGACUUACAAAAACACAUUGCACAGUACAAGAAAUAUCAGUCUACAUUUUUUUUCUUUUCGCAUAUAAUGCUUCAUACUUUAUACACAAUGCGUGUGCCACUUGAACAGUUAUAGUUAUUACACAAUCUUCGAUCGUUUUUAACUUUAUUAAGUUUGCAUCAGUAUAAUUAAGUUACUUACGAACUAGCUUUUUUUAAUUCGCAUAUUUAUGGUUAAACUAUUGCUCUGCAAAUACGUUGAAGCCAAACCGAUUAACACACAUCAGUAACUACUUUUGAUACAAAUAAACCUCUGCUACUGCGCCAACAUCAGUAUCCAACCAACUGACAUAACUGAACAAUACUCAAGCAUUUAACGAGAUAAGAAUGAUCCUAUAUAAUUCUGCAUUGCGGCUCUUUUUUGUAAUUUUCCAUUGCACCAGCCAUGCUUCCUUUUAUUAAAUUGGAAAUUAAACCUGACGUAAUUG
This is a non-coding RNA of Ciona intestinalis (vase tunicate), 890 nucleotides long. Lineage: Eukaryota; Metazoa; Chordata; Ascidiacea; Phlebobranchia; Cionidae. The record is from RefSeq and is a predicted model, not a curated record.